AGAGUUUGAUCAUGGCUCAGAAUGAACGCUGGCGGCGUGGAUAAGACAUGCAAGUCGAACGGAGAUAAUCAUUAGUUUACUAAAGAUUGUCUUAGUGGCGGACGGGUUAGUAACACGUGAGCAACUUACCUCAAAGUGGGGGAUAGCCUUCCGAAAGGAAGAUUAAUACCGCAUGUGACCUCCGGGUCAAAGGGUGCCUACUUAGGUAAGCACUCGCUUUGAGAUAGGCUCGCGUCCUAUCAGUUAGUUGGUGAGGUAAUGGCUCACCAAGACUACGACGGGUAGCUGUUCUGAGAGGAAGAUCAGCAACACUGGAACUGAGACACGGUCCAGACACCUACGGGUGGCAGCAGUCGAGAAUCAUUCACAAUGGACGAAAGUCUGAUGGUGCAACGCCGCGUGGAGGAUGAAGGCCCUAGGGUCGUAAACUCCUGUCAUAGCAGAGUAAGGCAUAGUAGUUAAAAGCUAUUAUGUUUGAUAGUAUGCUAAGAGGAAGGGACGGCUAACUUCGUGCCAGCAGCCGCGGUAAUACGAAGGUCCCGAGCGUUAUUCGGAAUCACUGGGCGUAAAGGGAGCGUAGGCGGCGCGGUAAGUCAGAUGUGAAAUCUGGGGGCUCAACCUCCAAACUGCAUUCGAUACUGCCGUGCUAGAGUAAUGGAGAGGUAACUGGAAUUCUCGGUGUAGCAGUGAAAUGCGUAGAUAUCGAGAGGAAGACCAAUGGCGAAAGCAGGUUACUGGACAUUCACUGACGCUGAGGCUCGAAGGCUAGGGUAGCGAAAGGGAUUAGAUACCCCUGUAGUCCUAGCAGUAAACGAUGUGCGCUUGGUGUGGGAGGGUUCGACCCCUUCUGUGCCGGAGCUAACGCGUUAAGCGCACCGCCUGGGGAGUACGGUCGCAAGACUAAAACUCAAAGAAAUUGACGGGGACCCGCACAAGC
RNAcentral lists this ribosomal RNA (937 nucleotides) under uncultured bacterium. Its description in RNAcentral is "bacterial SSU rRNA". It matches the Rfam family "Bacterial small subunit ribosomal RNA", at positions 8 to 930 of the family's 1533-position model. The record is from RNAcentral.